GCCAGGGUAGCUCAGUUGGUUAGAGCAUGGGAUUCAUAAACCCAAGGUCGAGAGUCCGAAUCUCUCCCCUGGUA
This 74-nucleotide transfer RNA is filed under the name Candidatus Woesebacteria bacterium. RNAcentral describes it as "tRNA-Met". It matches the Rfam family "tRNA". From Rfam's summary of the family: Transfer RNA (tRNA) molecules are approximately 80 nucleotides in length. Their secondary structure includes four short double-helical elements and three loops (D, anti-codon, and T loops). The record is from RNAcentral. Lineage: Bacteria; Candidatus Woeseibacteriota.